RNAcentral lists this ribosomal RNA (808 nucleotides) under Tetradesmus obliquus. Its description in RNAcentral is "eukaryotic LSU rRNA". It matches the Rfam family "Eukaryotic large subunit ribosomal RNA", at positions 58 to 901 of the family's 3401-position model. Lineage: Eukaryota; Viridiplantae; Chlorophyta; Chlorophyceae; Sphaeropleales; Scenedesmaceae. The record is from RNAcentral.
AAAGAAACUAACAAGGAUGCGCUUAGUAACGGCGAGCGAACCGCGCAAAGCCCAACUUGAAAAUCUCCCUUGGAGAAUUGUAGUCUAUAGAAGUACCCUCUGCAACGGGCGCAGCUCAAGUCUCCUGGAAAGGGGCGUCAGAGAGGGUGAGAACCCCGUAAGCUGUUGCUUAGUUGCCUCACGAGGUGCUUUCAAAGAGUCGGGUUGCUUGGGAAUGCAGCCCAAAUUUGGUGGUAAAUCCCAUCUAAGGCUAAAUAUUGGCGAGAGACCGAUAGNGAACAAGUACCGUGAGGGAAAGAUGAAAAGAACUUUGAAAAGAGAGUUAAAAAGUGCUUGAAAUUGUUGAGGGGGAAGCGUUUGAAUGCUAGGGUGCGCCUAGGCUUAUGGGUUCUUAACGGAGCUCUGUAUGUGCUACGUGCUGGCCAGCAUGGGUUAGGCUAGUGGGAUAAAAGCUGGGAUUGUUACCCGGUCUAUGCCACUGGCUUGACCAAGGCGUGAAGACUGCCCUUGUCCUUCGGGAACUGCAGUCUCAAGAUGCUGGCAAAAGGCUUUCAACCGACCCGUCUUGAAACACGGACCAAGGAGUCUAACAUGUAUGCGAGUUGGUGGGUGGAAAACCCAUGAAGCGUAAGGAAACUGACUGGUGGGAUGGCCUGUGCCUGCACCAUCGACCGACCAUGCGUUUCUGCAAAAGGUUUGAGUGCGAGCAUACCUGUUGGGACCCGAAAGAUGGUGAACUAUGCCUGAGCAGGGUGAAGCCAGGUGAAAACCUGGUGGAGGCUCGUAGAUGUGCUGACGUGCAAAUCGC